AAUAACCUCAAUUUUCGUUUUUCCGUGUCCAACGUUUGAUCAUUCGUCUUAUUUGAAAAAUUUAUAAAAAACUUAAAAAAAUUAGUCACGUAUAAAGUACUAUUCAUAUUUUAUCAUCUAGUAACAAUAAAAAUAUUAAUCGCAAAAAAAUUUCAAAUAAGAUGAAUGAUCAAACGUUGGACACAAAAAAACGAAAAAUGAGGUUAUU
RNAcentral lists this microRNA precursor (208 nucleotides) under Oryza brachyantha (malo sina). RNAcentral's name for it is "MIR812 microRNA precursor family". It matches the Rfam family "MIR812 microRNA precursor family". Lineage: Eukaryota; Viridiplantae; Streptophyta; Magnoliopsida; Poales; Poaceae. The record is from Rfam by way of RNAcentral.